This is a long non-coding RNA of Xiphophorus hellerii (green swordtail), 362 nucleotides long. RefSeq lists it as uncharacterized. The record is from RefSeq and is a predicted model, not a curated record. Lineage: Eukaryota; Metazoa; Chordata; Actinopteri; Cyprinodontiformes; Poeciliidae. The transcript is spliced from 4 exons.
UGCCAGCUUAUUGCCUGAGGACAACUGUAGUUCAGUUUCAUCAUUUACGUUUAAACAAUGAAAUAUUCAAAUCAUGAAAAAACAUCGGGUUUGAUGCUUCUUGGUUUAAAUACACUGAAUGGAGUCAGAUUUCAGUGUAUUUAGGUGAGUUUUGAGGCUUUGUAGUUUGUUAUUGAAAAGUUUGCGUAGCUGCUGCACAUUUUCACAGCAGGUCAAACGUUUGCGCAAACUUUCACUCCACGUUUGUUUUGUUACAUGCCGACUUGUGAGUAAAAUAUGGCGCCGCACAUUUUUUGUGCAUACGCAUUUAUACAUGAGGCUCCAGAGCCGAAUAUGUGAUUCAUUCGUUUGAACAGAUCUGG